Molecule: ribosomal RNA, 466 nt
Filed under: uncultured Bacillus sp.
Lineage: Bacteria; Bacillati; Bacillota; Bacilli; Caryophanales; Bacillaceae
Description: bacterial SSU rRNA
Rfam family: Bacterial small subunit ribosomal RNA
Source: RNAcentral
CCUACGGGCGGCUGCAGUGGGGAAUCUUCCGCAAUGGACGAAAGUCUGACGGAGCAACGCCGCGUGAGUGAUGAAGGCUUUCGGGUCGUAAAACUCUGUUGUUAGGGAAGAACAAGUGCUAGUUGAAUAAGCUGGCACCUUGACGGUACCUAACCAGAAAGCCACGGCUAACUACGUGCCAGCAGCCGCGGUAAUACGUAGGUGGCAAGCGUUAUCCGGAAUUAUUGGGCGUAAAGCGCGCGCAGGUGGUUUCUUAAGUCUGAUGUGAAAGCCCACGGCUCAACCGUGGAGGGUCAUUGGAAACUGGGAGACUUGAGUGCAGAAGAGGAAAGUGGAAUUCCAUGUGUAGCGGUGAAAUGCGUAGAGAUAUGGAGGAACACCAGUGGCGAAGGCGACUUUCUGGUCUGUAACUGACACUGAGGCGCGAAAGCGUGGGGAGCAAACAGGAUUAGAUACCCCUGUAGUC